CCUAGGGCGGCUGCAGUGGGGAAUAUUGGACAAUGGGCGAAAGCCUGAUCCAGCCAUGCCGCGUGUGUGAAGAAGGCCUUCGGGUUGUAAAGCACUUUCAGUGGGGAAGAAAGCCUUGGGGCUAAUACCCUCGAGGAAGGACAUCACCCACAGAAGAAGCACCGGCUAACUCCGUGCCAGCAGCCGCGGUAAUACGGAGGGUGCGAGCGUUAAUCGGAAUUACUGGGCGUAAAGCGCGCGUAGGCGGUCUGAUAAGCCGGUUGUGAAAGCCCCGGGCUCAACCUGGGAACGGCAUCCGGAACUGUCAGGCUAGAGUGCAGGAGAGGAAGGUAGAAUUCCCGGUGUAGCGGUGAAAUGCGUAGAGAUCGGGAGGAAUACCAGUGGCGAAGGCGGCCUUCUGGACUGACACUGACGCUGAGGUGCGAAAGCGUGGGUAGCAAACAGGAUUAGAUACCCCGGUAGUC
This 464-nucleotide ribosomal RNA is filed under the name Vreelandella stevensii. RNAcentral's name for it is "partial 16S ribosomal RNA". It matches the Rfam family "Bacterial small subunit ribosomal RNA", at positions 338 to 795 of the family's 1533-position model. The record is from RNAcentral. Lineage: Bacteria; Pseudomonadati; Pseudomonadota; Gammaproteobacteria; Oceanospirillales; Halomonadaceae.